Molecule: long non-coding RNA, 225 nt
Organism: Octopus bimaculoides (California two-spot octopus)
Lineage: Eukaryota; Metazoa; Mollusca; Cephalopoda; Octopoda; Octopodidae
Source: RefSeq, a predicted model, not a curated record
AAAUUUUUCAUCAAGAAAUAUAGCAAUGUCUUUAAUCUUUUAAACAGAGAUCCAAAUGUCUCAAAACAUUGUACUGCAUUGCCGAAGGAAUUUGACUGCGGCCAUGCUGGAGCACCACCUUUAGACGAACGAAUCGACCCCAUGACUUAUUCUUUGAAGUCCAGCUUUUGACAAAACUUUCCAGAGCACCAGUGUAUCAAAGGCAUUGGUAAAGUCGACAAAGAC